RNAcentral lists this ribosomal RNA (1424 nucleotides) under Salmonella enterica. RNAcentral describes it as "bacterial SSU rRNA". It matches the Rfam family "Bacterial small subunit ribosomal RNA". Lineage: Bacteria; Pseudomonadati; Pseudomonadota; Gammaproteobacteria; Enterobacterales; Enterobacteriaceae. The record is from RNAcentral.
GACGGGUGAGUAAUGUCUGGGAAACUGCCUGAUGGAGGGGGAUAACUACUGGAAACGGUGGCUAAUACCGCAUAACGUCGCAAGACCAAAGAGGGGGACCUUCGGGCCUCUUGCCAUCAGAUGUGCCCAGAUGGGAUUAGCUUGUUGGUGAGGUAACGGCUCACCAAGGCGACGAUCCCUAGCUGGUCUGAGAGGAUGACCAGCCACACUGGAACUGAGACACGGUCCAGACUCCUACGGGAGGCAGCAGUGGGGAAUAUUGCACAAUGGGCGCAAGCCUGAUGCAGCCAUGCCGCGUGUAUGAAGAAGGCCUUCGGGUUGUAAAGUACUUUCAGCGGGGAGGAAGGUGUUGUGGUUAAUAACCGCAGCAAUUGACGUUACCCGCAGAAGAAGCACCGGCUAACUCCGUGCCAGCAGCCGCGGUAAUACGGAGGGUGCAAGCGUUAAUCGGAAUUACUGGGCGUAAAGCGCACGCAGGCGGUCUGUCAAGUCGGAUGUGAAAUCCCCGGGCUCAACCUGGGAACUGCAUUCGAAACUGGCAGGCUUGAGUCUUGUAGAGGGGGGUAGAAUUCCAGGUGUAGCGGUGAAAUGCGUAGAGAUCUGGAGGAAUACCGGUGGCGAAGGCGGCCCCCUGGACAAAGACUGACGCUCAGGUGCGAAAGCGUGGGGAGCAAACAGGAUUAGAUACCCUGGUAGUCCACGCCGUAAACGAUGUCUACUUGGAGGUUGUGCCCUUGAGGCGUGGCUUCCGGAGCUAACGCGUUAAGUAGACCGCCUGGGGAGUACGGCCGCAAGGUUAAAACUCAAAUGAAUUGACGGGGGCCCGCACAAGCGGUGGAGCAUGUGGUUUAAUUCGAUGCAACGCGAAGAACCUUACCUGGUCUUGACAUCCACAGAACUUUCCAGAGAUGGAUUGGUGCCUUCGGGAACUGUGAGACAGGUGCUGCAUGGCUGUCGUCAGCUCGUGUUGUGAAAUGUUGGGUUAAGUCCCGCAACGAGCGCAACCCUUAUCCUUUGUUGCCAGCGGUCCGGCCGGGAACUCAAAGGAGACUGCCAGUGAUAAACUGGAGGAAGGUGGGGAUGACGUCAAGUCAUCAUGGCCCUUACGACCAGGGCUACACACGUGCUACAAUGGCGCAUACAAAGAGAAGCGACCUCGCGAGAGCAAGCGGACCUCAUAAAGUGCGUCGUAGUCCGGAUUGGAGUCUGCAACUCGACUCCAUGAAGUCGGAAUCGCUAGUAAUCGUGGAUCAGAAUGCCACGGUGAAUACGUUCCCGGGCCUUGUACACACCGCCCGUCACACCAUGGGAGUGGGUUGCAAAAGAAGUAGGUAGCUUAACCUUCGGGAGGGCGCUUACCACUUUGUGAUUCAUGACUGGGGUGAAGUCGUAACAAGGUAACCGUAGGGGAACCUGCGGUUGGA